UGAACUUUUUGUGCCAUUUCACGGCUGAUCAUCCAUUUAGCAGGGGAGAGAAUAUUCUCAGGACUGUUCCCCCAUUAUGCAGGGCUGUUCACAAGUGAGCAUGCGUAUUUUUCUACAGACGUGGUCAUACCUGGAUCUUACAUGAUCAGACCUGAGUGAAACAUGUUCAUGCCUGUCGCAGACAUGAUAACGACUGACUGAAAACUUGACAAAUUCAUAUUUAUUUAUACAUUACUUCUUAUCUUGACUAAUUGGUCUUUCUUGUUAAAAAUUUCACUUUUUCAGAUUUUGUUUGAAAUGAGCUUAUCCAAAUUUACCUCCUCGAGUCAAAUAUCUUCAAAUGAAGAAAAUUAUGUCGCAUCUACAUCCCAAAAAAGAGGACUUCAGGAAACAGAGAAAAGUAUCCACACGCCCCGCUACCAACGACUCCCUGCUGGCAAUUAAAGAAAGAUGCAUCUAACCGCUACAGUAAAUUUUCAACAAAAAACUUCACCAAUGUCAAAAAAAAUCUGAAAAAAAAACUUAAAAUUUGAAGUAAAGUGUCACAUUAUCAAGCUGAGUUUAUGAUGUUGUUACAAUUUAACCAUUUCUUUAA
This is a long non-coding RNA of Symsagittifera roscoffensis, 595 nucleotides long. RefSeq lists it as uncharacterized. NCBI's taxonomy places the organism in Eukaryota, Metazoa, Xenacoelomorpha, Acoela, Convolutidae. The transcript is spliced from 2 exons. The record is from RefSeq and is a predicted model, not a curated record.